Rattus norvegicus (Norway rat) is the source of this 1339-nucleotide long non-coding RNA. Lineage: Eukaryota; Metazoa; Chordata; Mammalia; Rodentia; Muridae. The record is from Ensembl.
AUCUGACUUAAGAAUUGCCAUUGUUGGGCAGGUGUGUACUUCCAGAUCUACAAUCAAGGGAUUUUUGUUUUAUACCAGAAUCAAUGUUAACUUUCUGAAUGCCUGAAAUUUAAAUGUUACUUCUUUGCUUUGACUAUAUUUAAUUAUAUUUAAGCUAAAGAACCUAUCUCUAAGUUUAAUAAAUCUGAAAUGAUAGUAUGAUGUUUGCUGAUGGAGAGGAAGGGAUAGCUUUAUACAGGAAGCUGACUUCCAUUUGUUACUUUCAAAAAAAUUUUAAACAUUAAGAAAAGACAUGUCCUUAGUUAUGAUGAAAUGUCUAAACCGGUGCAGUUAUUACCAUUUGCCGAACUGUGCUCAUGUAUGUUAAUGGUGUCUUCAGCCUGUACAGUGUCUGUCUGGGCAAAGGACUCUACAGGUUUGUAGUUUAAGAGGGGACCAUAUAGUCAGGUGCAGCUGACUUGUGAGUUGCAUAAGUCAAUCUUGUCAGUCCUCCAUCUAUGUCACUAUCCCUCUUUGUUUUAAUGACUACAGCCCUAUAUGGAUUAGUUAAUAUUUUAGAAAAAAAUGUUUAAUUUGAAAUUUCUUGAGGUAUUUUGUAGUAUUUGAUCCAAUUGCAUUUUUGUAGUAAAACUUUAAACAUUGCCCUUUAUCUACAUAUGGUGUUUGGCUCUUAGCCUCUGGAAGUGACUAAGGCAUAUAUAUCUGUUAGAGCAGGGUCAGUAACCUAAGGGUUAUCCUUAGGUGCCAUGAAUUUGAACAUGUAACUGGGUUUAAGGAAUUUGAAAAUUAGAAACUCUGCAUAGCUCUAGAAAACCUCCCUUCUGCCUAUUUAAAAAGUGAAUAUUUACUGCUCUUCACCACAUGGGGUUGUGAUAAAUCUGUUAGAAAAAUCUUCCCCAAAGAACCAGCAGGACUCCUUAUUUUUCUUGUUCUAUUUAGUCUUAAGUUAGUUUUAAAACUUGGGACUGUAAAUGUUUUUUAAGAAAUACAGAAUACUCUAUAAUUUUGCUCCCUAAAAUAGAUGGCAUUAUGUUUAUUUCAUGCUUGUAAAAUAAUCUUAUGGAGGAAGUGCUGAAAACAAGCAAAUGAGAUUGCUUUUCCUAUUUAAUAUUCUGUGUAUAAGUACCUUAGCUCUAAGGGAAUUCUUCAAAGAGCAACAUGCAGGAAAGACCAUUUACUCCCCUACCAGAGCCUUGAAGUCCCUGCUUCAAGCUACUGUGUUUAGGUGCUGAGUUUAAAUAUCCAGAGUUCUUUUCAAUACCUGUAAAUACUGCUUUUAUUCUUGUAUUUGUACAGAAGUGUGCGAAAUGAUACAAAAAAGUAAUAAAAAUGUUUUGAC